RNAcentral lists this long non-coding RNA (3082 nucleotides) under Lotus japonicus. RNAcentral's name for it is "long non-coding RNA (LJAP_LNC001720)". Lineage: Eukaryota; Viridiplantae; Streptophyta; Magnoliopsida; Fabales; Fabaceae. The record is from RNAcentral.
CAGCCUCAAUGCUCACUCUGGGAGCAUUUUUCCUCCCAGAAACACCCAACAGCAUAAUCCAGAACAGCAAAGACCAUCACAAGGCUAAGCUAAUGUUGCAACGCAUUAGAGGCACCCAUGAUGUCCAACCAGAACUUGAUGACCUAAUUGAAGCAAGCAACAUAUCAAGUUCUAUCAAACACCCAUUUAAGAACAUCUUAAAGAGAAAGUAUAGGCCUCAACUUGUCAUGGCAAUAGCUAUACCAAUUUUUCAACAAUUCACUGGAAUUAAUGUCAUUGCCUUCUAUGCUCCAAUCCUCUUUCUAACCAUCGGAUUGGGCGAAAGCGCUUCGCUUCUUUCUGCAGUUAUGACUGGGGUUGUAGGUACUGCUUCAACAUUCAUAUCAAUGCUCAUAGUUGAUAAACUAGGCAGACGAGCUCUGUUCAUAUCUGGGGGCAUUCAGAUGCUCUUCUCACAAAUUAUAAUAGGAAGUAUUAUGGCAGCUCAACUUGGUGACCAUGGUGAAAUAAGCAAGCAAUAUGCAUAUUUGAUUCUGGUUUUAAUAUGCAUAUAUGUUGCUGGAUUUGGCUGCUCAUGGGGGCCACUAGAAUGGUUGGCUACUAGUGAAAUUUUCCCACUCGAAAUUCGAUCAGCAGGACAAAGUAUUACAGUUGCAGUGAACUUUUUAUUUACUUUCAUUGUUGCCCAAACUUUUCUUAGUAUGCUUUGUCAUUUCAAGUAUGGCACUUUCUUCUUUUUUGGGGGUUGGGUGGCUGUGAUGACAGCAUUUGUUUACUUGCUGUUACCCGAGACCAAAAAUGUGCCAAUUGAGCAAAUGGAUAAGGUGUGGAAAGAACAUUAUUUUUGGAAGAGAUUUGUGGAAGACGAAAGCAAAGGCAGAAAGAUAGGGGUACCUUGAUGUAUAUCAUUCCACAAGUUAUAUUUAUCUGGUACUUACUGUCAGAAAUAUAAUAUAAAAUUAUUUGUAGAUCUUCAUCCUAAAACUUGGACUUUUAGGAUAGUUGAUUCAUGACAUCAUAUUAAAGCCUCUAUAUCAAAAAAAAUAGAGUUCCAUCAUUGCUUCCCCUACUGUUCUUAGAAUAUUUUCCACGAAGAGCCAAUUGGACAUCCGAUAAUGAAACUUGCACCAUGGCAGUUUAACAGAUUAAGGCCAAUGGACUCUUAAGUGGGAGUGUUAAAAUAUAUAUAAAAUCAAUCACGAAACUUGCCCCGAAGCCGAAUAUAUAAAUACACAUGGGUAUGAAUCCUCUCCCGUGACAUGACCACUAGAGAGAGAUCUCAUCCAUCUAAAAUAUUUUUUCCCUAACAUUUUGGAUGGUAGGGAUAUCUCUCCGAUGGUCAUGUCAUGGAAAGAAUUCAAACCCAUAUCUAAAACAGCCUACUAGUUAUGUACUUUAAAUCAAAGCACUAUAAGUGAAGUUCAGCAAUUUUCAUGCAUCUUAAAUGACAUAAAAGUAGCAUGAGGGAAUACUGAGCAAGGAAUUCCAAAUAAAGACUAAUAUAAACAAAUUUCACGGACCCAUCGAGGUAAAAGAAACUACUGUCAAUAUAUUGAAAUCCUGUAGUCUGAAAUCUUCAUGCAAGCAUUGAUAUUGUAAGAAAUAUAUAAUAGAUGAAGGAUGAAGUUAUAGUUUGUUCUUUUGAGGCUUGGAUGAGUAUAAGCGCUUAUUCUAAACUUACAUAUGAGCAGCUUAUGAACAAACUUAGAAAGACUUAUAGAUAAGUUAAUUAGAAACUACUUUCAAAAGUUUAUCCAAACACUUGUCUAUGUGCGUAUGUUAUAAAAUAAGUUCAAAUAAGUUCCGCUAAUUUCACGAGAAUGGCAGGUGGGGUAACAUCGAUGGGGCCAUUCUUGGACAAGUUUUUCCCAGAUGUAUACACCAAGAUGAAGCAAGACACCAACGUUAGCAACUACUGCAAGUUUGAUAGCCAGCUCCUAACAACAUUCACUUCAUCACUCUACAUAGCUGGCCUGGUGACAUCCUUCUUUGCCUCAUCAGUCACAAGAGCCUUUGGGCGCAAACCAUCAAUGCUUGCAGGUGGUGUUGCAUUCCUCAUUGGAGCAGCUCUUGGUGGCGCAGCUCUCAAUAUAUACAUGCUAAUACUUGGUCGAAUUCUACUUGGAGUUGGAAUUGGCUUUUCUAACCAGGUUGGCUUAUCCAUUAUCCAUACAAUGCCCUUCUAUAUUUAUUUGAUCAGCUAUGACACACAAACAGGACAAACCUCACCGGCAAAUCUUGGCAUGGUUGAUAGAUAGUUAAGUUCCUUAAACAUCCUGACAAGGGUUCGAACCUUAGCUGUGUGUAUGAGAAAAGAUUAGUGGAGCGAAGCAAAGCUCAUUCCGCCAAUCUCUACCUCUCGAAAGGGUUUGGCUGCCGGUUGUGGGACACCAUUGGUGCACACACAAAAAUACAGACACUCAACUUAGACCUCAGUUUUCUCUCAAUCUAUCUCUUCCUAUCACAUCAUAUAUCACACUCAUUACUUCUAUCUUUUUUCUUCAUUUCUCACUGUGGUGUCUGCUCAACAUUUUCCUUAUUUGAUUAUUGGAUAUUGUUAACACAAUAACUUUAUCAUAAUCCUUAUAUGGAAGCAAAACUUCACUGUUUUGCAGUCAGUCCCAUUAUAUCUCUCUGAAAUGGCACCCACAAGAUACAGAGGAGCAAUCAACAAUGGAUUCCAAUUUUGUGUUGGCAUAGGUGCUCUAUCAGCUAACCUGAUUAACUAUGGCACAGAAAAGAUCAAAGAUGGUUGGGGCUGGAGAAUUUCUUUGGGCAUGGCAGCAGUUCCAGCCUCAAUGCUCACUCUGGGAGCAUUUUUCCUCCCAGAAACACCCAACAGCAUAAUCCAGAACAGCAAAGACCAUCACAAGGCUAAGCUAAUGUUGCAACGCAUUAGAGGCACCCAUGAUGUCCAACCAGAACUUGAUGACCUAAUUGAAGCAAGCAACAUAUCAAGUUCUAUCAAACACCCAUUUAAGAACAUCUUAAAGAGAAAGUAUAGGCCUCAACUUGUCAUGGCAAUAGCUAUACCAAUUUUUCAACAAUUCACUGGAAUUAAUGUCAUUGCCUUCUAUGCUCC